RNAcentral lists this long non-coding RNA (214 nucleotides) under Manihot esculenta (cassava). RNAcentral's name for it is "long non-coding RNA (MESC_LNC009939)". The record is from RNAcentral. Lineage: Eukaryota; Viridiplantae; Streptophyta; Magnoliopsida; Malpighiales; Euphorbiaceae.
UCGUGCCUCCUUCCCCCAUAAGUUUCGACUGAAUAAGACAAAAUUCAAAAAUUCUAUAUACAAGCCCAUUCACUGAGAGGAGAAUUAACCUACGUACAUUCCAGGUAAACAAUGAGGAGGAACCGAACAGACAGGCAAAAGAAAGAAGACGGUACUCCUAGACAAAGGAAAAAAAACCUAGAAAAAAAGAAUUGGUAAUUACCUCUUUCUUUUU